AGAGUUUGAUCCUGGCUCAGGACGAACGCUGGCGGCGUGCCUAAUGCAUGCAAGUCGAACGAGAAUAUGUUGAAGUACUUGUACGAAUAUAUAUGACAGUGGCGAACGGGUGAGUAACGCGUGAACAACCAACCCUUCACAGGGGGACAACAUCUGGAAACGGAUGCUAAUACCGCAUAUGCUCACAGUACCGCAUGGUACAGUGAGGAAAACUCCGGUGGUGAAGGACGGGUUCGCGUUCCAUUAGCUAGUUGGUGAGGUAACGGCCUACCAAGGCGACGAUGGUUAGCGGGUCUGAGAGGAUGAUCCGUCACACUGGCACUGGAACACGGGCCAGACUCCUACGGGAGGCAGCAGUGAGGAAUAUUGCGCAAUGGGGGAAACCCUGACGCAGCGACGCCGCGUGGGUGAUGAAGGCCUUCGGGUCGUAAAGCCCUGUCGUAGGGGAAGAACCGGUUGCAGGCUAAUAUCCUGCAGCCUUGACGGUACCCUACAAGAAAGCACCGGCUAACUCCGUGCCAGCAGCCGCGGUAAUACGGAGGGUGCGAGCGUUGUUCGGAAUUACUGGGCGUAAAGAGCGUGUAGGCGGCUGAUCAAGUCCGGUGUGAAAGCCCGGGGCUUACCCCCGGAAGUGCGCUGGAAACUGGUCAGCUAGAGUAUGGGAGAGGGAAGUGGAAUUCCUGGUGUAGCGGUGAAAUGCGUAGAUAUCAGGAGGAACACCGGCGGCGAAGGCGGCUUCCUGGACCAAUACUGACGCUGAGACGCGAAAGCGUGGGGAGCAAACAGGAUUAGAUACCCUGGUAGUCCACGCCGUAAACGAUGGGCACUAGAUGCUGCGGGUAUUGACCCCUGCGGUGUCGUAGUUAACGCGUUAAGUGCCCCGCCUGGGGAGUACGGUCGCAAGAUUAAAACUCAAAGGAAUUGACGG
RNAcentral lists this ribosomal RNA (928 nucleotides) under uncultured bacterium. Its description in RNAcentral is "bacterial SSU rRNA". It matches the Rfam family "Bacterial small subunit ribosomal RNA", at positions 8 to 916 of the family's 1533-position model. The record is from RNAcentral.